Molecule: long non-coding RNA, 186 nt
Organism: Gopherus evgoodei (Goodes thornscrub tortoise)
Lineage: Eukaryota; Metazoa; Chordata; Testudines; Testudinidae
Exons: 3
Source: RefSeq, a predicted model, not a curated record
UUGCUGCAUCAAUUUUGCACUGAGGGUAUGACGUUAUUGAUAUAUUCUGGGACCAUAUAGAACAUGGUUGCAACCAAGAUCCUGUAGUGGCACCAAAUCUUAUGUAAAGGGGGUCAUAUAAGGUGUCUAGGACCAGGUUAUGGGUUCCUUGUUAUAAUUAUAGUGUCUAUAUGUAUGUAUCAUUUU